Long non-coding RNA from Boleophthalmus pectinirostris (great blue-spotted mudskipper), 670 nucleotides. RefSeq lists it as uncharacterized. The transcript is spliced from 3 exons. The record is from RefSeq and is a predicted model, not a curated record. Lineage: Eukaryota; Metazoa; Chordata; Actinopteri; Gobiiformes; Gobiidae.
UAAACAAUACUAACAACACAUCCUAACAACAUGUAAUUGAGCACAAUUUAUUUUCAUUUUAUGUGCUCACUAUGUACUACUGUGUCUACUACAAUUACUAAAUAUUCCAGUUAAAGGCUAUUUUCUGGCUCAGUGAAUAUGUUGAUGAUCUCAGUGAUUUUAUUUUUAGCCAUAAACAAUUAAGCUGAAUUCACAUAUUUACUGUAUUUCUUAAGAUUAUUGUGAGUAAUUUUGGCCUAUAUAAUGUCUGUCAUGACAGGAAGCAACUCGUCAGAGAUGAGUUGUUUGUUUUGCUAAGACAUCCUUUUGCAAGAUAGUGACAUCCUUUGUCUGACUGUACAAGCUCCGAUAAACACAAAUGAAUACAAAUACGAGAAAUGUACUAUUCUGCGUCUCUCUGGUCCCUCUUGUGGUCGUUGGCGUCGGGGGAACGGGCACAACAAGUGCACUAACUGACAGGGGACUGGAGGCGGUGUUCAGCAUGGAGUGGAUCAAGGACAAUACGGAACGCAACAAUGUCUUGUAAUUUGGGUGGAACACGCCCAAUGCCUGAUCUGCCCACUUCUAGCAUGUGAUAAGACUGCAGUACUCCAUAUCAAGAAAUACAAUUCCAACUAUUGACAACAAGACAAUGUGGAAAUCAAAACCAUAAAAUACUGCUAAAAAGUCA